AGAGUUUGAUCAUGGCUCAGAACGAACGCUGGCGGCAUGCCUAACACAUGCAAGUCGAACGAGACCUUCGGGUCUAGUGGCGCACGGGUGCGUAACGCGUGGGAAUCUGCCCUUCGGUUCGGAAUAACUCAGGGAAACUUGAGCUAAUACCGGAUAAUGACGUAAGUCCAAAGAUUUAUCGCCGAAGGAUGAGCCCGCGUAGGAUUAGCUUGUUGGUGGGGUAAUGGCCCACCAAGGCGACGAUCCUUAGCUGGUCUGAGAGGAUGAUCAGCCACACUGGGACUGAGACACGGCCCAGACUCCUACGGGAGGCAGCAGUGGGGAAUAUUGGACAAUGGGCGAAAGCCUGAUCCAGCAAUGCCGCGUGAGUGAUGAAGGCCUUAGGGUUGUAAAGCUCUUUUACCCGGGAUGAUAAUGACAGUACCGGGAGAAUAAGCUCCGGCUAACUCCGUG
This 453-nucleotide ribosomal RNA is filed under the name uncultured bacterium. Its description in RNAcentral is "bacterial SSU rRNA". It matches the Rfam family "Bacterial small subunit ribosomal RNA", at positions 8 to 507 of the family's 1533-position model. The record is from RNAcentral.